UAAACUUUCCAUCUACAGCUCCUGCCAAUGCAUCUGAUAUUUCAGGCAUUCUACCCGAGCGCUCCUCAGGAAUGCAGUAGAACUAGGACAUGUUUGUUGGCGGCUAUAUUUAACGUCAUAAAUUUUGCAUCCAUGGUCACUUCACAGUACAGAUACACAAGACCCAGUGUUAUAUUACAGGUAGAUAGGGAAAGACCGCCGUUCUUUCUUCUGUAAAUUCCAGUCCAAAGUGAUGCUCAACUCCCAUCUCACACGCAUCAGUUUGGCACACUACUUCAAUGUGACCAAGAAGUAGCCUCUGAGUUUUGUUAUUAUAGUAGG
This 321-nucleotide unclassified non-coding RNA is filed under the name Hevea brasiliensis (rubber tree). Lineage: Eukaryota; Viridiplantae; Streptophyta; Magnoliopsida; Malpighiales; Euphorbiaceae. The record is from RNAcentral.